Molecule: ribosomal RNA, 252 nt
Filed under: uncultured bacterium
Lineage: Bacteria
Description: partial 16S ribosomal RNA
Rfam family: Bacterial small subunit ribosomal RNA
Source: RNAcentral
ACGAAGGUGGCGAGCGUUGUUCGGAUUUACUGGGCGUAAAGGGAGCGUAGGCGGCAUUGUAUGUCGGAUGUGAAAGCCCACGGCUCAACCGUGGAAAUGCAUUCGAAACUGCAGUGCUAGAGUAUUGGAGAGGUAAGCGGAAUUCUAGGUGUAGCGGUGAAAUGCGUAGAUAUCUAGAGGAACACCAGCGGCGAAGGCGGCUUACUGGACAAAUACUGACGCUGAGGCUCGAAAGCCGGGGGAGCGAAGAGG